CCCAAUCCGCACCCCGCGUUCCCCAGCCAAUCCUCCUCGCCUCGUCCCACUCCCGCACCAGCCACCACCCAAACCCUAGCCCACUUUUCCCUCGAUCCCCAGAACCUCUCCCGCCUCUAUCCCUCCUCCUCGCGUCACCACGGCCUCCACCCCGGAGCCUCGCCGCCGCCUGAUAAUACUCCUCCACCACGCUAGCCCCUCCACCUCACCUUCCUUCUUUUUGUCAUCUGCGCCCGUCAUUGAUGCCUGGUUCCAGAUCGGGCGCGGGUUAGGCGAGGUCGAUGGUGGGGUGAAUGGGCAGGGGAGGCGGGCGACAAGGGCAGGCAACAGUCGGCCCGUCGCGAUGUGGUCAAGCUACAGGGAAGAGGGAGGAGGUCGGCGACAGGGUGAAGGAGCAGGCCGGCCCUCAUGGAGGCAGCGCUAUCAGCCAGCUAGGGAGGCGGUCCGGCUCGCCUCUGCUAUGCCGUGAGCAGCGGCGCUACCUCGGCCUCGAGCCUCACCUCCUCUGCCAAUCUCCUGCCGCGAGACAGUGCCUUCCCACGUUCUCAAUCUGGCGUUACCGUGCAUGGUGGUUUCAGAUCGGGCGCAGGUCGCAGCCAUGGAAGUAAGGGGCAUGGUGGUUUCUGUGAUGUGUAUGGAGGAGCGGUGGAAGGUGAGGAUGACGGACAGGUGGGAAGGCGCAACAAGACUGGAGCUGCAACGCUCGCAUCAUGGUGGCGUGGAGCCGUCCAUCACUACCCAUCGACUCCAGUUUAGAUAUGUACAACAGUCGCCCCGUCGCGAUGUGGUGAAACUACAGGGAAGAGGGAGGAGGCCGGCGACAGGGUGAAGGAGCAGGCCGGCCCUCAUGGAGGCAGCGCUACCAGCUAGCUAGGGAGGCGGUCCGGCUCGCCUCUGCUAUGCCGUGAGCGGCAGCGCUACCUCUGCCUCCAGCCUCACCUCCUCUGCCAACCAUGGGAAAAUUUAGGGGAGACCCAAGGCGAGCUUCCCUCUGUUGCAUGCACUCAUGAUCUCUAAAUAUUUCUGUAGCCUAAAUGCCUAUGUACCAUGUAAGCAAGCCCAACCUAAUGCACAUCAUCAGCUUGAUGAAUGACCAAAUGGUUUGUUUUUCUUGCCAUAUAGACCAUUGACGGGUGUGCAGGAGCCCUUCUAAUUGGUGCUCUAUGUGUGUUUUCUUUUCUUUUGUUGCAGAAUAAUAAUUCGAGUGGAUGGCAAUGCGCCUUGUUGUUUAGCGGUAUGAUGGUCGGUGAUAGUAUGUUCUAUAUAUAUUGCAAGGAUCAUAAGAUGCCUUUACACAUGAUUGUGUGAUGCUCAGAAACAUUUUGCACAGUAGAAACUUCUUGUGAAGCUUGAUUUUAUUCAGAGCCAUAUGAUUUUUUUAUAGAAACAUGUGCAGAGUAAAAUGGACACAUCUUCUGGUACAUCUGAGCACCGACGACCACAAUGGGAUGGAUCAAGCAGCCAAGACUCAGAGUGUGGUCGGGCGGCGCCAUGGGGCAGAUCUGUGCGGUGCAAGGGGCGGUAGAUGUGAAACUGAAGCUUCCCCGCUAACUUCGAAGCAGUCAAUUGAGCAGAUGGACAUGACGAGUGAGGAUUGGUGCUGCCGCCCCUGGUAGGAGCCCAAUGUCCUAAUCGAACUACUGUCAUGGAGAGGGCAAUACGUGGAUUUGCUUCAGAUAUUGGAGACAACGCCAUUGUGCCGAAGCUCGGAACAAUCUUCGAUACAUUGGUGAAGCAUACGAUUUUUACAAUCUGUAUUUAUGGGAGAAAGGAUUUGGCAUUCGAUAUGGUAAAAGCUGUCUGAAUGUCGAGAGGACGUGGAAAUCUAUUGUGGAUAAUACUGGUCUUGCCGGCGUUAGUGCCCUACUCUGAUAAGGCUGCUGCAGUCUGAACCAUUCAUUGUAUCGCACGUAUGCGCAGACGAACACUGACGAUCGCACAAGCACAUCAACGUGUACAGCAGGGAUUUGAUGAAGAAUUUGAGGCAGAACAAUGUGAACCUUGCUAAAGUGCACAACAUUAGGCAGUUUCCUUGGGUCGAUGGAGAAUGUGCCUUUCACAAAAAGAGCUUCAAGGAGCUUGUGUGGCAAAAUAAGCCGCGAGCAACCGGCUGAUGAUGUUAGUUAAACGAUGGAGGUGUUUGCGGAGCUUGGUUCAAAGGAUCCUCACUUCACAUAUCAUGUGCAGGCCGAUAAGGAGGGAAGGAUAAACGCACUCAUGUGGGCAAAUGGGGACAGUAGGCUGGUGCAAAAAAGACUGUAGCUUAUUCUCAAAUUUUCUGUCUCUAAUACUGAAUUUGGUGUGUACCGAUAAAUCAUGUAGCGCGUGAGAUCCAUCAUGCAGUUUAACUGCUAAUCCCAAUUAUGUUAUGCAUGCCCUGAAGCUGAUGAAUUUGUGUUCUCCUAUACUGAAAUGUCAAAUUGAUUGUGUGUA
This is a long non-coding RNA of Triticum aestivum (bread wheat), 2433 nucleotides long. RefSeq lists it as uncharacterized. Lineage: Eukaryota; Viridiplantae; Streptophyta; Magnoliopsida; Poales; Poaceae. The transcript has 7 exons. The record is from RefSeq and is a predicted model, not a curated record.